This is a long non-coding RNA of Peromyscus leucopus (white-footed mouse), 226 nucleotides long. RefSeq lists it as uncharacterized. The transcript has 2 exons. Lineage: Eukaryota; Metazoa; Chordata; Mammalia; Rodentia; Cricetidae. The record is from RefSeq and is a predicted model, not a curated record.
GAUGUUCAGCAGCUGUGGGGACUGUCCUGAGCACUGGAAGAUGUUCAGCAGCUGUGGGGACUGUCCUGAGCACUGGAGGAUGUUCAGAUGUUCAGCAGCUGUGGGGACUGUCCUGAGCACUGGAGGAUGUUCAGAUGUUCAGCAGCUGUGGGGACUGUCCUGAGCACUGGAGGAUGUUCAGCAGCUGUGGGGACUGUCCUGAGCAAUGGAGGGUUUUCAGUACCAA